This 415-nucleotide ribosomal RNA is filed under the name Micronecta erythra. RNAcentral describes it as "partial large subunit ribosomal RNA". It matches the Rfam family "Bacterial large subunit ribosomal RNA", at positions 1842 to 2523 of the family's 2925-position model. The record is from RNAcentral. Lineage: Eukaryota; Metazoa; Arthropoda; Insecta; Hemiptera; Micronectidae.
CUUUUUUAGUUUGACCUGCCCACUGAUUUAUUAAAUGGCCGCGGUAUUUUGACCGUGCAAAGGUAGCAUAAUCAUUUGUCUCUUAAUUGGAGGCUGGAAUGAAUGGUUUGACGAGGGAAUUUCUUUUUUAUUAAAAAUUUUAUAAUUUAACUUUUAAGUUAAAAGGCUUAAAUGUAUUUGAGGGACGAGAAGACCCUAUAGAACUUUACUUUUUUUAUAGGUAAUUAUUUUUGUUUAGGGUAUAUUUAUUUUGAAAAAAAAGUUUGGUUGGGGCGACCUUGAGGAUUUUUUAACUCUCAAAUUGUUUUUCACAAAUUAGUGUUAUGAUCCAUUAUUAAUGAUUAUUAGAUUAAGUUACCUUAGGGAUAACAGCGUAAUUUAUUUGGAGAGUUCUUAUCGAUAAAUGAGAUUGCGA